UACGUAGGGGGCGAGCGUUGUCCGGAAUGACUGGGCGUAAAGGGUGUGUAGGCGGUUUGAUAAGUUAGAAGUGUAAUACCCAGGGCUUAACUCGGGUGCUGCUUCUAAAACUAUUAGACUUGAGUGCAGGAGAGGAUAGUGGAAUUCCUAGUGUAGCGGUGGAAUGCGUAGAUAUUAGGAGGAACAUCAGUGGCGAAGGCGACUAUCUGGACUGUAACUGACGCUGAGGCACGAAAGCGUGGGGAGCGAACAGG
RNAcentral lists this ribosomal RNA (254 nucleotides) under uncultured bacterium. Its description in RNAcentral is "partial 16S ribosomal RNA". It matches the Rfam family "Bacterial small subunit ribosomal RNA", at positions 524 to 776 of the family's 1533-position model. The record is from RNAcentral.